AUCCGGCUGAAGAUUCUCGAAUAGGACGAAACACGCGUCCUGGAU
This 45-nucleotide non-coding RNA is filed under the name Schistosoma mansoni. The record is from RNAcentral. Lineage: Eukaryota; Metazoa; Platyhelminthes; Trematoda; Strigeidida; Schistosomatidae.